GAUGAACGCUAGCGGGAGGCCUAACACAUGCAAGCCGAGCGGUAGAGAUUCUUCGGAAUCUUGAGAGCGGCGUACGGGUGCGGAACACGUGUGCAACCUGCCUUUAUCAGGGGGAUAGCCUUUCGAAAGGAAGAUUAAUACCCCAUAAUAUAUUUGAUGGCAUCAUUAGAUAUUGAAAGCUUUGGCGGAUAGAGAUGGGCACGCGCAAGAUUAGAUAGUUGGUGAGGUAACGGCUCACCAAGUCGAUGAUCUUUAGGGGGCCUGAGAGGGUGAUCCCCCACACUGGUACUGAGACACGGACCAGACUCCUACGGGAGGCAGCAGUGAGGAAUAUUGGACAAUGGGUUAGCGCCUGAUCCAGCCAUCCCGCGUGAAGGACGACGGCCCUAUGGGUUGUAAACUUCUUUUGUACAGGGAUAAACCUACUCUCGUGAGAGUAGCUGAAGGUACUGUACGAAUAAGCACCGGCUAACUCCGUG
Molecule: ribosomal RNA, 479 nt
Filed under: uncultured bacterium
Lineage: Bacteria
Description: partial 16S ribosomal RNA
Rfam family: Bacterial small subunit ribosomal RNA
Source: RNAcentral